Molecule: ribosomal RNA, 252 nt
Filed under: uncultured bacterium
Lineage: Bacteria
Description: partial 16S ribosomal RNA
Rfam family: Bacterial small subunit ribosomal RNA
Source: RNAcentral
UACGUAAGGUCCGAGCGUUGUCCGGAAUCAUUGGGCGUAAAGGGUACGUAGGCGGAUAAGCAAGUUAGAAGUGAAAUCCUAUAGCUCAACUAUAGUAAGCUUUUAAAACUGAAUACCUUGAGAGAUGGAGGGGAAUGUGGAACUCCAUGUGUAGCGGUGGAAUGCGUAGAUAUAUGGAAGAACACCAGUGGCGAAGGCGACAUUCUGGUCUGUUACUGACGCUGAGGCGCGAAAGCGUGGGGAGCAAACAGG